Molecule: unclassified non-coding RNA, 291 nt
Filed under: fungal sp.
Lineage: Eukaryota; Fungi
Description: partial internal transcribed spacer region
Rfam family: Eukaryotic small subunit ribosomal RNA (bases 1-46)
Source: RNAcentral
AAGUCGUAACAAGGUUUCCGUAGGUGAACCUGCGGAAGGAUCAUUAAUGAAGUUUUUUGGGGUUUUUAAUCUCAAAAAAUAAUUCACCUUUUGUGCAUUGUUAUUAGAUAUACUUUGGUUAGAGCUUUGAUUUCGUUUUUUUGAAAUCAACUUCUUGCUGACUCUAUCCUUUUUUGAGGACAGUUGGCUAUGAAGCGGCCUACCAAAGUUUUUUAUCAAACUCUUGUAUUUUGUCUGACCUAAACUACUAUAAUUAAAUCAUAACUUUCAACAACGGAUCUCUUGGCUCUC